UACGAAGGGGGCUAGCGUUGUUCGGAAUUACUGGGCGUAAAGCGCGCGUAGGCGGACAUUUAAGUCAGGGGUGAAAUCCUGGAGCUCAACUCCAGAACUGCCUUUGAUACUGAGGAUCUUGAGUCCGGGAGAGGUGAGUGGAACUGCGAGUGUAGAGGUGAAAUUCGUAGAUAUUCGGAGGAACACCAGUGGCGAAGGCGGCUCACUGGUCCGGUACUGACGCUGAGGUGCGAAAGCGUGGG
This 242-nucleotide ribosomal RNA is filed under the name uncultured bacterium. Its description in RNAcentral is "partial 16S ribosomal RNA". It matches the Rfam family "Bacterial small subunit ribosomal RNA", at positions 524 to 765 of the family's 1533-position model. The record is from RNAcentral.